Molecule: small nucleolar RNA, 144 nt
Filed under: Cricetulus griseus (Chinese hamster)
Lineage: Eukaryota; Metazoa; Chordata; Mammalia; Rodentia; Cricetidae
Description: Small nucleolar RNA SNORA4 (ENSCGRG00015023370.2)
Rfam family: Small nucleolar RNA SNORA4
About the family: ACA4 is a member of the H/ACA class of snoRNA that guide the sites of modification of uridines to pseudouridines.
Source: RNAcentral
AUACCAAAAGCUAGAUUUGUGGGAAAUGUUUUUUUUUUAAAAUAACCUUAACCAACUUAGGCAAUUUGGCAGAAUGAUUAAGACCACACUCCACAGUGGACUAUACCAUUUAGUAUGGUUCAUUACUAUCUUGUGGCCUACAUU